Molecule: transfer RNA, 72 nt
Filed under: Ictidomys tridecemlineatus (thirteen-lined ground squirrel)
Lineage: Eukaryota; Metazoa; Chordata; Mammalia; Rodentia; Sciuridae
Description: Spermophilus tridecemlineatus (thirteen-lined ground squirrel) tRNA
Rfam family: tRNA
About the family: Transfer RNA (tRNA) molecules are approximately 80 nucleotides in length.
Source: Rfam by way of RNAcentral
GGGGAUGUAGCUCAGUGGUGGAGCGUUUGCCUAGAAUGUGUGAGGCUCUGGGUUAGAUCCCCAGCACCUUGA